CCGCCCGGCCCGAAUACGCUCGGGCAUUUCCGCCGGGGGCGGGCCAGGCCGCUCGGAACCGUGGCGGCGGCAGAGGCGGGGAUCCCGCGGCUGCGGCGACGGUGGCCGCGGUGGAGCCGCGGGGCGGGCUCGGUUUGGUGUGACGGCGACUGCGGCGGCGGUGGCGACCGCGACCAGGUCGGCGUCCUCGGCUGGCCGAGCAUGGUGGCAGCCUGCACCCUUGGCUCCCUCAUCUGGUGCAGCCAGCAGAGCCGCCACCCUUGGGCGCCCAUGGCCCUCCAUGUGAGGGCGUGAGCGGCCUGCCCCAGCCUCACCUGCUGAUGGAGGACUCAGUGGCCCAGUGACCUGACACCACGCCACUAACCCCCUCCCACCAGUUGACGAAUGGUGGAGCCAGCGACGAGUGGCCCUUGUAAGGGUCAUGGAAUAAUUUGAAGCGAGGCAUGAGCGGCCCCCGUGGUCGCCUGUGACUGCUGGAGAUAGAGGUCCCAGCACCCCAAGCCAACCCAGCGGACCCUCCCAACCCUGCUCCAGCCAAUGGGGCCAGUGGGACUCCAAGCAGCCACCUAACCAUCCAGACCCCACCCCACCCACGCGGCCAUGGCGGGCCCUGAGGGUUUCCAGUACCGUGCUCUGUACCCGUUCCGCCGGGAGCGGCCAGAGGACCUGGAGCUGCUGCCUGGCGACGUGCUGGUAGUGAGCCGGGCGGCCUUGCAGGCACUGGGUGUGGCCGAGGGUGGCGAGCGCUGCCCACAGAGCGUGGGCUGGAUGCCCGGCCUCAACGAGCGCACACGGCAGCGAGGUGACUUUCCUGGCACCUAUGUCGAGUUCCUGGGGCCCGUGGCCCUGGCCCGGCCCGGCCCUCGCCCACGGGGCCCCCGCCCACUGCCCGCCAGGCCCCGUGAUGGGGCCCCUGAGCCAGGCCUCACACUCCCCGACUUGCCUGAGCAGUUCUCCCCACCUGAUGUGGCGCCCCCUCUUCUGGUGAAGCUUGUGGAGGCCAUUGAAAGGACAGGGCUGGACAGCGAAUCUCACUACCGGCCGGAGCUGCCCACACCGCGUACAGACUGGACCCUGAGCGAUGUGGACCAGUGGGACGUGACAGCCUUGGCUGACGGCAUUAAGAGCUUCCUUCUGGCACUGCCUGCACCGCUCGUGACCCCCGAGGCCUCGGCCGAGGCGCGCAGGGCCCUGCGGGAGGCCGCGGGGCCCGUGGGGCCGGCGCUGGAGCCACCGACGCUGCCGCUGCACCGCGCGCUCACGCUGCGCUUCCUGCUCCAGCACCUGGGCCGCGUGGCCCGCCGCGCCCCGGCCCUGGGUCCCGCGGUCCGGGCCCUGGGCGCCACCUUUGGGCCGCUGCUGCUGCGCGCGCCGCCGCCGUCCUCGCCGCCGCCAGGGGGCGCUCCCGACGGGAGUGAGCCCAGUUCUGACUUCCCGGCGCUGCUGGUGGAGAAGCUGCUUCAGGAGCACUUGGAAGAGCAGGAGGUUGCACCCCCAGCGCUGCCGCCUAAACCCCCCAAGGCAAAGCUGGCCCCUGCAGGCCUGGCGAAUGGAGGGAGCCCACCCUCCCUGCAGGAUGCCGAGUGGUACUGGGGAGACAUUUCAAGGGAGGAGGUGAAUGAGAAACUCCGGGACACUCCCGAUGGCACCUUCCUAGUCCGAGAUGCUUCCAGCAAGAUCCAGGGCGAGUACACGCUGACCCUCAGGAAAGGCGGGAACAAUAAACUGAUCAAGGUCUUCCACCGAGAUGGGCACUACGGCUUCUCAGAGCCACUCACCUUCUGCUCUGUCGUGGACCUCAUCAAUCACUACCGCCACGAGUCGCUGGCCCAGUACAACGCCAAGCUGGACACACGGCUUCUCUACCCUGUGUCCAAAUACCAGCAGGACCAGAUUGUCAAGGAGGACAGUGUGGAGGCGGUGGGCGCCCAGCUCAAGGUCUAUCACCAGCAGUACCAGGACAAGAGCCGCGAGUAUGACCAGCUCUAUGAAGAGUACACACGGACCUCCCAGGAGCUGCAGAUGAAGCGUACCGCGAUUGAGGCCUUCAAUGAGACUAUCAAGAUCUUUGAAGAGCAGGGCCAGACUCAAGAGAAGUGCAGCAAGGAAUACCUGGAGCGCUUCCGGCGUGAGGGCAACGAGAAAGAGAUGCAGAGGAUCCUGCUUAACUCUGAGAGGCUCAAGUCCCGCAUUGCCGAGAUCCACGAGAGCCGCACGAAGCUGGAGCAGCAGCUGCGGGCCCAGGCCUCGGACAACCGGGAGAUCGACAAGCGCAUGAACAGCCUCAAGCCAGACCUCAUGCAGCUGCGUAAGAUCCGAGACCAGUACCUUGUGUGGCUCACCCAGAAAGGCGCCCGGCAGAAGAAAAUCAACGAGUGGCUGGGGAUCAAAAAUGAGACUGAGGACCAGUACGCGCUGAUGGAGGACGAGGACGAUCUCCCGCACCACGAGGAACGCACUUGGUACGUGGGCAAGAUCAACCGCACGCAGGCAGAGGAGAUGCUGAGUGGCAAGCGGGAUGGCACCUUCCUCAUCCGCGAGAGCAGCCAGCGGGGCUGCUACGCCUGCUCCGUGGUGGUGGACGGAGACACCAAGCACUGCGUCAUCUACCGCACGGCCACCGGCUUCGGCUUCGCGGAGCCCUACAACCUGUACGGGUCGCUGAAGGAGCUGGUGCUGCACUACCAGCACGCCUCGCUCGUGCAGCACAACGACGCGCUCACCGUCACCCUGGCGCACCCAGUACGCGCCCCGGGCCCCGGCCCGCCGCCUGCCGCCCGCUGAGCGCCGAGGACCCCCCCCAAGCGGAGCUGCCCCUGGGCCCGUCUGCACCGGAGGCUGCGGCGGCAGGAGCCACGGACCAGACCAGCCACAUCCAGGGGUCCUCAUUUCUACGGCUCUGGCUUUUGUUUGGGGUUCUCUCACCCUCUUUCUCUUUCCUUCUCUCCUUCCCUCCCUCCCUCUUUCCCUCCCCAUUCUCCAGAUCUCCUGUCUCCUUUUCUCUCUCUCUCUCUCUUUCUUGGCCCUUGUCUUUCUCCAUGUUGGGGGUCCUGCCUCCCCGACCCCAUAUCUCCCUGUUCCCCGGGCAAUGCCCUCUCCAUGGCUCUGGUCACCCUGACCCUCUGCCCUGCCCACCGCAGGUCCCCUGGGGCCCUGGAAGCCCCUUCUGGCUGCACCUGCCAUGUUUACAGAGGGCCCCUGGGCUGCGCGGCCCCAGCCUGGGCACCCUGAUUUUUAAGCCAUAGACCUGGGGUCAGGGCAGGAAGGAACUUCACUCCGCUGCUUCCGAGAACCUCGGCCGUGACGUUCGGGGCCGGGCGGGACCCGCCCCACAGACUCCAACUUCCCCUCCAAACCCCGAAGUGAAACCCGACACCGGGUUACCCCACAAAUGGGGCCGCUGCGAGAAGGUCCACCACCCCUAAAAAAAUAAUUAAACUCGCAGGCCGGGCGCUUUGGCUCACGCCUGUAAUCCCAGCACUUUGGGAGGCCAAGGCGGGCGGAUCUUUUGAGGUCAGGAGUUGGAGACCAGCCCGGCCAAAAUGGCGAAACCCCGUCUCUACUAAAAUACAAAAAUUAGUUGGGUGUGGUGGCGGGCGCCUGUAAUCCCAGCUACUUGGGAGGCUGAGGCGCGAGAAUCUCUUGAACCUGGGAGAUGGAGGCUGCAACGAGCAGAGAUUGUGCCACUGCACUCCAGCCUGGGCAACAGAGGGAGACUCCUCCGUCUCAAAAAAAAUAAAUAAACUCGUGAGCUGGUCCCAACCCCCCCUAGGAAUCACAGCUCCCCGUACUGGUGCCGCCGCAGUGGCCAAGUUGCGACACUGCCCACGGCCCUUCCGCCUGAUGCAGAUUCAGGGCUUCUCUUCGAUCAUGUUGGGUUUUGACUCUGUUUUUCCUUGACUGCAAAACCCUCUUUCCUCUCCUCUUUUGGGACAAGAGCCCUGGUUUUCUACGCUGCCCUUGGCCACCACACUGCCUGCCCGGCGAGCUGGGAGGCAGGUUUUGUACGGCUGGAACGCAGUUGUGUGAACACGGCUCGCUCAUGGCUCACGGCCUCAAACUCCUGGUUUCCAGCCUCAAGCAGUCCUCCCAUCUCAGCCUUCUGAGUCACUGGAUUACAGGCUAUUCUCUCUGCCUUCACUGCUGGGGCCACUGUCCUGUGUAGGCACCAAGGCCUGACCAUGCCACCCGGAAGCCCCAACCUGGGACAACUCUCCCCCACCUGCCUCUGAGCCCUCCA
This is an RNA transcript of Rhinopithecus roxellana (golden snub-nosed monkey), 4240 nucleotides long. It is a transcript of the gene named phosphoinositide-3-kinase regulatory subunit 2, with no coding region annotated. The transcript has 18 exons. Lineage: Eukaryota; Metazoa; Chordata; Mammalia; Primates; Cercopithecidae. The record is from RefSeq and is a predicted model, not a curated record.